RNAcentral lists this ribosomal RNA (499 nucleotides) under uncultured bacterium. RNAcentral's name for it is "bacterial SSU rRNA". It matches the Rfam family "Bacterial small subunit ribosomal RNA", at positions 28 to 502 of the family's 1533-position model. The record is from RNAcentral.
GAUGAACGCUGGCGGCGUGCCUCAAACAUGCAAGUCGAGCGGGGAUUAUGCUUGAUCGCUUCGGUGAGACGGCAUAUAUCCUAGCGGCGGACGGGUGAGUAACGCGUGGGUAAUCUACCUCGUAGUUCGGGAUAACAGGCCGAAAGGCUUGCUAAUACCGGAUGAGUUCAUGCUUAUGCAUAUAGGCAUGAAGAAAGGGCUAGCCCGCUAUGAGAUGAGCCCGCGUCCCAUUAGCUUGUUGGUGGGGUAAUGGCCUACCAAGGCAACGAUGGGUAGCCGGCCUGAGAGGGUGUACGGCCACACUGGGACUGAGACACGGCCCAGACUCCUACGGGAGGCAGCAGUGGGGAAUUUUGGACAAUGGGCGAAAGCCUGAUCCAGCCAUGCCGCGUGCAGGAAGAAGGCCUUCGGGUUGUAACUGCUUUAGUCUAGGAAAAGGGGUAGACGAGGUUAAUAACCCUCGUGCUUUGAUGGUACUGGAAGAAUAAGCACGCUAACG